UACGUAGGGUGCGAGCGUUAAUCGGAAUUACUGGGCGUAAAGCGUGCGCAGGCGGUUCGUUGUGUCGGCGGUGAAAGCCCCGGGCUUAACCUGGGAACGGCCGUUGAAACUGGCGAACUGGAGUGUGGCAGAGGGGGGUGGAAUUCCGCGUGUAGCAGUGAAGUGCGUAGAGAUGCGGAGGAACACCGAUGGCGAAGGCAGCCCCCUGGGCUAACACUGACGCUCAGGCACGAAAGCGUGGGGAGCAAACGGG
RNAcentral lists this ribosomal RNA (253 nucleotides) under uncultured bacterium. RNAcentral's name for it is "partial 16S ribosomal RNA". It matches the Rfam family "Bacterial small subunit ribosomal RNA", at positions 524 to 776 of the family's 1533-position model. The record is from RNAcentral.